AAGCAUAUCAAUAAGCGGAGGAAAAGAAACCAACAGGGAUUGCCUCAGUAACUGCGAGUGAAGCGGCAAAAGCUCAAAUUUGAAAUCUGGCGUCCUCUGGGUGUCCGAGUUGUAAUUUGGAGGAGCGUCUUCGGGAGCGGCACUGUCCUAAGUUCUUUGGAACAGGACGUCAUAGAGGGUGAGAAUCCCGUGCCUGGGCGGUUGCCCGUUCCCAUGUGAAGUGCUUCCGACGAGUCGAGUUGUUUGGGAAUGCAGCUCAAAAUGGGUGGUAAAUUUCAUCUAAAGCUAAAUAUUGGCGAGAGACCGAUAGCGCACAAGUAGAGUGAUCGAAAGAUGAAAAGCACUUUGAAAAGAGAGUUAAAAAGUACGUGAAAUUGUUGAAAGGGAAGCGCUUGAGAUCAAACUCGGCCUUUGGUGAUCCACUGGGCUUCUGUCCGGUGAAACUUUGCCAUUGGCCGGGCCAGCAUCGGUUCUGACGGUGGGAAAAACGGCCGGGGAAUGUGGCUCCUCUCGGGGAGUGUUAUAGACCUGGCCUUAGAUACCGCCAGUUGGGACCGAGGACCGCGCUUCGGCUAGGAUGCUGGCGUAAUGGUCUUAAGCGACCCGUCUUGA
RNAcentral lists this ribosomal RNA (612 nucleotides) under Octospora bryi-argentei. RNAcentral describes it as "partial large subunit ribosomal RNA". It matches the Rfam family "Eukaryotic large subunit ribosomal RNA", at positions 36 to 657 of the family's 3401-position model. The record is from RNAcentral. Lineage: Eukaryota; Fungi; Ascomycota; Pezizomycetes; Pezizales; Pyronemataceae.